This 393-nucleotide ribosomal RNA is filed under the name uncultured bacterium. RNAcentral describes it as "bacterial SSU rRNA". It matches the Rfam family "Bacterial small subunit ribosomal RNA", at positions 28 to 422 of the family's 1533-position model. The record is from RNAcentral.
GACGAACGCUGGCGGCGUGCUUAACACAUGCAAGUCGAGCGGUAAGGCCCUUUCGGGGGUACACGAGCGGCGAACGGGUGAGUAACACGUGGGUGACCUGCCCUCAGCUCUGGGAUAAGCCCGGGAAACUGGGUCUAAUACUGGAUAUGACUCCACGGUGCAUGCCGUGGGGUGGAAAGCCUUGUGCGGCUGAGGAUGGGCCCGCGGCCUAUCAGCUUGUUGGUGGGGUGAUGGCCUACCAAGGCGACGACGGGUAGCCGGCCUGAGAGGGCGACCGGCCACACUGGGACUGAGACACGGCCCAGACUCCUACGGGAGGCAGCAGUGGGGAAUCUUGCGCAAUGGGCGAAAGCCUGACGCAGCGACGCCGCGUGAGGGAUGACGGCCUGGUGU